AUUGAACGCUGGCGGCAGGCCUAACACAUGCAAGUCGAACGAGUGGCGGACGGGUGAGUAAUGUCUGGGACACUGCCCGAUGGGGGGGGAUAACUACUGGCAACGGUAGCUAAUACCGCAUACCAUCGGAUGUCCCCAGAUGGGUUUAGCUAGUAGGUGGGGUAACGGCUCAUCUAGGCGACGAUCACUAGCUGGUCUGAGAGGAUGACCAGCCACACUGGAACUGAGACACGGUCCAGACUCCUACGGGAGGCAGCAGUGGGGAAUAUUGCACAAUGGGCGCAAGCCUGAUGCAGCCAGGCCGCGGGUAUGAAGAAGGCCUUCGGGUUGUAAAGUACUUGCAGCGAGGAGGCGUUACUCGCAGAAGAAGCACAGGCUAACUCCGUGCCAGCAGCCGCGGUAAUUC
Molecule: ribosomal RNA, 406 nt
Filed under: uncultured bacterium
Lineage: Bacteria
Description: partial 16S ribosomal RNA
Rfam family: Bacterial small subunit ribosomal RNA
Source: RNAcentral